GUAAGAUGAUGGGACUUGCAUAUUGUAAGACAUGGGAGUAAUCCCAGUAAUUCAGAUGAAAAAACACUAAUCUGAGUUAAUGAUGACUGAGACAUAAUGAACUCAUGUAGAGCAUCCCCUACUCUUCAGCUGGGCUAAAUUGCUAAUAGGGACGUUAAUUGGAUGAGGGCUCUUAUGAGCUGCAGCUGAAGUUGGACCCAUCAGUGCCUUUAUCUGACAAACCAACCGGCUCAGCUCUGCCACGUCAGCAUACAUGUGAAGUCUUCUCUUUCCGUCUAGUCGGUAAGCCUAUUCCACCAAGUCUAGAUGGAUUUUCCAGCUGCCUUGUGAUUUGAUUAACCCAAGUUAAUUCUCAUCAGAUGAUUUGAAACAGUCUGGUCCAACUUCUUCAGAUACCUUGGUAGUUGCAAACUGAUCUCUACCUACUCAGAACUACCCAGGAUCACUUCCUAUAAUUCAGAUCAUCUGUGUUGCCUUUGGGGUCUGAUUCAAAUUCUGCUAAACCAGCAUAACAACCCCCCCUUGAUCUAACAGGCUUUGGACCAGCCUCCCAUCUCUUUGAGACAGCAGGUCAUAUAUCUGACUAAAGGCUUGAAAACAGUGGGCUUGAGCUACUUUUCACAUGGGAAUACCUUGCAGGCAGUAAAGAGCAGAUGGAAAAGAUCAGCAUAAAGGAAAUGAAGUGC
Long non-coding RNA from Gallus gallus (chicken), 686 nucleotides. The record is from Ensembl. Lineage: Eukaryota; Metazoa; Chordata; Aves; Galliformes; Phasianidae.